GUGCCAGCAGCCGCGGUAAUACGUAGGUGGCGAGCGUUGUCCGGAAUUACUGGGUGUAAAGGGCGCGUAGGCGGGGAUGUAAGUCAGAUGUGAAAUACCAUGGCUUAACUGUGGUCGUGCAUCUGAAACUAUGUUUCUUGAGUAUCGGAGAGGAAAGCGGAAUUCCCAGUGUAGCGGUGAAAUGCGUAGAGAUUGGGAAGAACACCAGUGGCGAAGGCGGCUUUCUGGACGGUAACUGACGCUGAGGCGCGAAAGCGUGGGGAGCAAACAGGAUUAGAUACCCUGGUAGUCCACGCCGUAAACGAUGGAUACUAGGUGUAGGAGGUAUCGACCCCUUCUGUGCCGGAGUUAACACAAUAAGUAUCCCACCUGGGGAGUACGGCCGCAAGGUUGAAACUCAAAUGAAUUGACGG
RNAcentral lists this ribosomal RNA (413 nucleotides) under uncultured bacterium. RNAcentral's name for it is "bacterial SSU rRNA". It matches the Rfam family "Bacterial small subunit ribosomal RNA", at positions 505 to 916 of the family's 1533-position model. The record is from RNAcentral.